GGGGAUGUAGCUUAGUGGUAGAGCACUUGCCUAGCACCGCAGCACAUGCAAGGCCCUGCGCUCCAUCCCCA
Molecule: transfer RNA, 71 nt
Filed under: Cavia porcellus (domestic guinea pig)
Lineage: Eukaryota; Metazoa; Chordata; Mammalia; Rodentia; Caviidae
Rfam family: tRNA
About the family: Transfer RNA (tRNA) molecules are approximately 80 nucleotides in length.
Source: Rfam by way of RNAcentral